Molecule: ribosomal RNA, 727 nt
Filed under: uncultured Alkalibacterium sp.
Lineage: Bacteria; Bacillati; Bacillota; Bacilli; Lactobacillales; Carnobacteriaceae
Description: bacterial SSU rRNA
Rfam family: Bacterial small subunit ribosomal RNA
Source: RNAcentral
AGAUACCCUGGUAGUCCACGCCGUAAACGAUGAGUGCUAAGUGUUGGAGGGUUUCCGCCCUUCAGUGCUGGAGCUAACGCAUUAAGCACUCCGCCUGGGGAGUACGGCCGCAAGGCUGAAACCCAAAGGAAUUGACGGGGACCCGCACAAGCGGUGGAGCAUGUGGUUUAAUUCAAAGCAACGCGAAGAACCUUACCAGUUCUUGACAUCCUCUGACCACCCAAGAGAUUGGGCUUUCCCUUCGGGGACAGAGUGACAUGUGGUGCAUGGUUGUCGUCAGCUCGUGUCGUGAGAUGUUGGGUUAAGUCCCGUAACGAGCGCAACCCUUAUUGUUAGUUGCCAGCAUUUAGUUGGGCACUCUAACGAGACUGCCGGUGAUAAACCGGAGGAAGGCGGGGAUGACGUCAAAUCAUCAUGCCCCUUAUGAACUGGGCUACACACGUGCUACAAUGGAUGGUACAACGAGUUGCGAGACCGCGAGGUUUAGCUAAUCUCCUAAAGCCAUUCUCAGUUCGGAUUGCAGGCUGCAACUCGCCUGCAUGAAGCUGGAAUCGCUAGUAAUCGCGGAUCAGAACGCCGCGGUGAAUACGUUCCCGGGUCUUGUACACACCGCCCGUCACACCACAAGAGUUUGGAACACCCGAAGUCGGUCGAGUAACCCUUUUAGGGAGCUAGCCGCCGAAUGUGGGCUGGAUGAUUGGGGUGAAGUCGUAACAAGGUAACCAAU